GGGUCAGUAGGUUGGUGGUGCCACGGUUACGUUCUGGUCUCACUGAUUCCUCCUUCCUGAAGAACCGUAAUGCCAUUAAUUUGGUGUUGCGGGGAAACAGGACUGUUACUUUGAAAAAAUUAGAGUGUUUAAAGCAAGCUAACGCUUGAAUACAUUAGCAUGGAAUAAUGAAAUAGGACGAUCGAUCCUAUUUUGUUGGUUUCUAGGAUUGACGUA
RNAcentral lists this ribosomal RNA (216 nucleotides) under Glomeromycotina sp. RNAcentral's name for it is "partial small subunit ribosomal RNA". The stretch from base 40 to 216 matches the Rfam family "Eukaryotic small subunit ribosomal RNA", at positions 686 to 864 of the family's 1831-position model. Lineage: Eukaryota; Fungi; Glomeromycota. The record is from RNAcentral.